UACAGAGGUCCCGAGCGUUGUUCGGAAUCACUGGGCUUAAAGCGCGUGUAGGCGGAUGGGAACGUCGGUAGUUGAAAGCCCCCGGCUCAACCGGGGAAGUGGUGCCGAAACGACCCGUCUGGAGGGACGUAGGGGGACCUGGAACUCCGGUGGAGCGGUGAAAUGCGUUGAGAUCGGAAGGAACGCCCGUGGCGAAAGCGAGGUCCUGGACGUCUACUGACGCUGAGA
RNAcentral lists this ribosomal RNA (228 nucleotides) under uncultured bacterium. RNAcentral describes it as "partial 16S ribosomal RNA". It matches the Rfam family "Bacterial small subunit ribosomal RNA", at positions 524 to 751 of the family's 1533-position model. The record is from RNAcentral.